Molecule: ribosomal RNA, 466 nt
Filed under: uncultured bacterium
Lineage: Bacteria
Description: partial 16S ribosomal RNA
Rfam family: Bacterial small subunit ribosomal RNA
Source: RNAcentral
GAUGAACGCUGGCGGCGUGCUUAACACAUGCAAGUCGAACGGAAAGGCCCUGCUUGCAGGGUACUCGAGUGGCGAACGGGUGAGUAACACGUGGGUGAUCUGCCCUGUACUUUGGGAUAAGCCUGGGAAACUGGGUCUAAUACCGAAUAUGACAAUUGUUUGGAUGCGAUUGUGGAAAGCUUUUGCGGUAUGGGAUGAGCUCGCGGCCUAUCAGCUUGUUAGUGGGGUAAUGGCCUACCAAGGCGUCGACGGGUAGCCGGCCUGAGAGGGUGUACGGCCACAUUGGGACUGAGAUACGGCCCAGACUCCUACGGGAGGCAGCAGUGGGGAAUAUUGCACAAUGGGCGCAAGCCUGAUGCAGCGACGCCGCGUGGGGGAUGACGGCCUUCGGGUUGUAAACUCCUUUCGCAACCGACGAAGCCUUUUGGUGACGGUAGGUUGAGAAGAAGCACCGGCUAACUACGUG